RNAcentral lists this unclassified non-coding RNA (25 nucleotides) under Mus musculus (house mouse). RNAcentral describes it as "piRNA piR-mmu-68095293". The record is from RNAcentral. Lineage: Eukaryota; Metazoa; Chordata; Mammalia; Rodentia; Muridae.
UAGCUGAGUAGUAUUCAAUUGUGUU